Molecule: ribosomal RNA, 894 nt
Filed under: Triticum aestivum (bread wheat)
Lineage: Eukaryota; Viridiplantae; Streptophyta; Magnoliopsida; Poales; Poaceae
Description: partial small subunit ribosomal RNA
Source: RNAcentral
AUGAGGGGCAAGUGUUUCCGUUGCUUGGAGAAGGGACACUUCCGGGUCGACUGCAUCAACGAGAUCGUCUGCUUCCGCUGCGGGCUGCCCGGGCAUGGCUCCAGGGAUUGCAAGAGGCCCCGUAGCCCGUCUUCGGUGGAUGAGCUGAGGCGUGACACGGUGGCCAAGGUGGCUCGCCGUGCCAGCCCUGUGCCCCCUGCAGCGGCACGCGGCACGCCGCCGGUUGCACCACCGCCCCCUCCCCCCCAGCAGCGCACGAGCCAGGAUGCGCACCUGGUUUGGCUACCGUUGGCGCCGCUGCGGUUGCAGACUGUCAUCGAUGCAGAGGAAGACCCCACAGAGAUCUGCAUCGUGCGUCGUUCACAAACGGUGGAAGAUCUUGAGCGCCGCCUCCAGUUCUCCAUGGUGGCGUACGUCGGUGGGGCGAGGCCUGUGAUCCCUGCGGCGCAAGUUCAUGAAGUGCUAGCCGGAAAGCUGGACAUCCCGCCCGACCUGGUGUCCGUCCAUCGCCAUCGACCAAAAGAUUUCUUGGUAGUUUUCGCUUCUGCGGAGUUGAGGAACAGAGUUUCUGCAUGUCCGAUAGUGGCGUUUGAAGGAGACAGGCUGUUUUUUCGGCCGUGGAACCGCCAGUCACAAGCGGUGCACGCCAUGUUCGGGUUCAAGGUCUGGCUCGAGAUCGAGGGCAUUCCUCCCCACGCCUGGGACAGAUCGGUGGUGGAAGAGUUGUUGGGUUCGUCUUGCAAAGUGGAUUCGGUCGCGCCGGAAACCUGCUCUCGUGCGGACUUGUCCUCGUUCAAGCUGUCAGCAUGGACUGCUCACCCUCAGGGAAUCCCCACGCUGCGGUGGCUCGUCGUGCCGGAGCCUGGAGAGGAGGCGCCUCCUGCGCUGCUGUAG